UAAGCACUAUACCGUGAAACUGCGAAUGGCUCAUUAUAUCAGUAAUUGUUUAUUUGAUAGUACCUAUUUACCUGGAUACCCGUGGUAAUUCUAGAGCUAAUACAUGCUAAAAACCCCGACUUCGGAAGGGGUGUAUUUAUUAGAUAAAAAACCAAUGCCCUCUGGGGCUCCCUGGUGAUUCAUAAUAACUUAACGAAUCGCAUGGCCUUGCGCUGGCGAUGGUUCAUUCAAAUUUCUGCCCUAUCAACUUUCGAUGGUAGGAUAGUGGCCUACCAUGGUAUCAACGGGUAACGGGGAAUUAGGGUUCUAUUCCGGAGAGGGAGCCUGAGAAACGGCUACCACAUCCAAGGAAGGCAGCAGGCGCGCAAAUUACCCAAUCCCAAUACGGGGAGGUAGUGACAAUAAAUACUGAUACAGGGCUCUUUUGGGUCUUGUAAUUGGAAUGAGUACAACUUAAAUCCCUUAACGAGGAACAAUUGGAGGGCAAGUCUGGUGCCAGCAGCCGCGGUAAUUCCAGCUCCAAUAGCGUAUAUUAAAGUUGUUGCAGUUAAAAAGCUCGUAGUUGAACCUUGGGCCUGGCUGGUCGGUCCGCCUCACCGCGUGCACUGAUCCGGCCGGGCCUUUCCUUCUGGGGAGCCGCAUGCCCUUCACUGGGUGUGUCGGGGAACCAGGACUUUUACUUUGAAAAAAUUAGAGUGUUCAAAGCAGGCCUAUGCUCGAAUACAUUAGCAUGGAAUAAUAGAAUAGGACGUGUGGUUCUAUUUUGUUGGUUUCUAGAAUCGCCGUAAUGAUUAAUAGGGAUAGUCGGGGGCAUCAGUAUUCAAUUGUCAGAGGUGAAAUUCUUGGAUUUAUUGAAGACUAACUACUGCGAAAGCAUUUGCCAAGGAUGUUUUCAUUAAUCAGUGAACGAAAGUUAGGGGAUCGAAGACGAUCAGAUACCGUCGUAGUCUUAACCAUAAACUAUGCCGACUAGGGAUCGGGCGAUGUUAUUUUUUGACUCGCUCGGCACCUUACGAGAAAUCAAAGUCUUUGG
Molecule: ribosomal RNA, 1033 nt
Filed under: Micraspis acicola
Lineage: Eukaryota; Fungi; Ascomycota; Leotiomycetes; Micraspidales; Micraspidaceae
Description: SSU rRNA
Rfam family: Eukaryotic small subunit ribosomal RNA
Source: RNAcentral